Molecule: ribosomal RNA, 253 nt
Filed under: uncultured bacterium
Lineage: Bacteria
Description: partial 16S ribosomal RNA
Rfam family: Bacterial small subunit ribosomal RNA
Source: RNAcentral
UACGUAGGUGGCAAGCGUUGUCCGGAAUUAUUGGGCGUAAAGCGCGCGCAGGCGGUCCUUUAAGUCUGAUGUGAAAGCCCACGGCUCAACCGUGGAGGGUCAUUGGAAACUGGGGGACUUGAGUGCAGGAGAGAAGAGUGGAAUUCCACGUGUAGCGGUGAAAUGCGUAGAGAUCGGAAGGAACACCAGUGGCGAAGGCGGCUACCUGGCCUGAUACUGACGCUGAGGCGCGAAAGCUAGGGGAGCGAACGGG